This 510-nucleotide ribosomal RNA is filed under the name uncultured bacterium. RNAcentral describes it as "SSU rRNA". It matches the Rfam family "Bacterial small subunit ribosomal RNA", at positions 26 to 523 of the family's 1533-position model. The record is from RNAcentral.
AGGACGAACGCUGGCGGCGCGCUUAACACAUGCAAGUCGAGCGAGAACCUGGCCUUCGGGCCUGGGGAAAGCGGCGAACGGGUGAGUAACACGUGGGUAACCCACCCUUGGUACCGGGAUAGCCCGAGGAAACUCGGAUUAAUACCGGAUGGCCCAACAGCUCUUCGGGGCGGUUGGAAAAGGUAGCUUCGGCCUCCGACCAAGGACGGGCCCGCGGCGGAUUAGCUUGUUGGUGAGGUAACGGCUCACCAAGGCGACGAUCCGUAGCUGGUCUGAGAGGACGAUCAGCCACACUGGGACUGAGACACGGCCCAGACUCCUACGGGAGGCAGCAGUGGGGAAUCUUGCGCAAUGGGCGAAAGCCUGACGCAGCGACGCCGCGUGGGGGAAGAAGGCUUUCGGGUUGUAAAGCCCUUUCAGUUGGGACGAAGCUUUGCCGGUGAAUAGCCGGUUGGAGUGACGGUACUUCAGAAGAAGCCCCGGCUAACUACGUGCCAGCAGCCGCGGUAA